GACAACGCUGGCGGCGUGCUUAACACAUGCAAGUCGAACGGACGAGUGAGAUAAGUUUACUUAACUCACAAGUUAGUGGCGGACGGGUGAGUAACACGUGGAUAAUCUACCUGCAACACCGGGAUAACGCUGUGAAAACGGUGCUAAUACCGGAUACGUUCCCUUGUGCGCAUGUAUGAGGGAAGAAAGCUCAGGCGGUUGCAGAUGAGUCCGCGGCUGAUUAGCUAGUUGGUGAGGUAAAGGCUCACCGAGGCGAUGAUCAGUAGCCGGCCUGAGAGGGUGAACGGCCACACUGGGACUGAGACACGGCCCAGACUCCUACGGGAGGCAGCAGUGGGGAAUCUUCCGCAAUGGGCGCAAGCCUGACGGAGCAACGCCGCGUGGGUGAAGAAGGCCUUCGGGUUUGUAAAGCCCUGUCUUAUGGGAAGAAGUCAGUGACGGUACCAUAGGAGGAAGCCACGGCUAACUACGUG
Molecule: ribosomal RNA, 473 nt
Filed under: uncultured bacterium
Lineage: Bacteria
Description: bacterial SSU rRNA
Rfam family: Bacterial small subunit ribosomal RNA
Source: RNAcentral